AUUGAACGCUGGCGGCAGGCUUAACACAUGCAAGUCGAGCGGGGUGAUGGUGCUUGCACUAUCACUUAGCGGCGGACGGGUGAGUAAUGCUUAGGAAUCUGCCUAUUAGUGGGGGACAACAUCUCGAAAGGGAUGCUAAUACCGCAUACGUCCUACGGGAGAAAGCAGGGGAUCACUUGUGACCUUGCGCUAAUAGAUGAGCCUAAGUCGGAUUAGCUAGUUGGUGGGGUAAAGGCCUACCAAGGCGACGAUCUGUAGCGGGUCUGAGAGGAUGAUCCGCCACACUGGGACGGAGACACGGCCCAGACUCCUACGGGAGGCAGCAGUGGGGAAUAUUGGACAGUGGGGGGAACCCUGAUCCAGCCAUGCCGCGUGUGUGAAGAAGGCCUUAUGGUUGUAAAGCACUUUAAGCGAGGAGGAGGCUCUUUUGGUUAAUACCCAAGAUGAGUGGACGUUACUCGCAGAAUAAGCACCGGCUAACUCUGUGCCAGCCGCCGCGGUAA
This 503-nucleotide ribosomal RNA is filed under the name uncultured bacterium. RNAcentral describes it as "partial 16S ribosomal RNA". It matches the Rfam family "Bacterial small subunit ribosomal RNA", at positions 30 to 523 of the family's 1533-position model. The record is from RNAcentral.